GGAGAGACUAACAGGAUUCCCCUAGUAACUGCGAGUGAAGCGGGAAGAGCUCAAAUUUAAAAUCUGGUGGUCCCUCUGGGCCGUCCGAGUUGUAAUCUAGAGAAGUGCUUUCCGCGCUGGACCGUGUACAAGUCUCUUGGAAUGGAGCGUCAUAGAGGGUGAGAAUCCCGUCUUUGACACGGACUGCCAGGGCUUCUGUGAUGCACUCUCAAAGAGUCGAGUUGUUUGGGAAUGCAGCUCAAAAUGGGUGGUAAAUUCCAUCUAAAGCUAAAUAUAGGCGAGAGACCGAUAGCGAACAAGUACCGUGAGGGAAAGAUGAAAAGAACUUUGAAAAGAGAGUUAAACAGUACGUGAAAUUGUUGAAAGGGAAACGUUUCAAGUCAGUCGCGUCGGCUGGUAAUCAACCUUUGCAAUCUUGCUAGGCUUACUUUCCAGUUGACGGGUCAGCAUCAAUUUUGACCGUCAGAUAAAGGCGUGAGGAAUGUGGCAUCUUUGGAUGUGUUAUAGCCUCUUGUCACAUGUGAUGGUUGGGAUUGAGGAACUCAGCAUGCCGUUCAUCGGUCGGGGCCUUUCGGCUCACGUAACAUGCUUAGGAUGCUGGCAUAAUGGCUUGAACCGACCCGUCUUGAAACACGGACCAAGGAGUCUAACAUGCCUGCGAGUGUUUGGGUGGAAAACCCGAGCGCGAAGUGAAAGUGAACUUGGUUGAGAUCCCUGUCGUGGGGAGCACCAACGCCCGGACCAGACCUUUUGUGACGGAUCUGCGGUUGAACAUGCAUGUUUGGGACCCCGAAAGAUGGUGAACUAUGCCUGAAUAGGGUGAAGCCAGAGGAAACUCUGGUGGAGGCUCGUAGCGAUUCUGACGUGCAAAUCGAUCGUCGAAUUUGGGUAUAGGGGGCGAAAAAACUAAUCGAACCAUCUAGUAGCUGGGUUCCUGCCGAAUUUUUCCCC
This 951-nucleotide ribosomal RNA is filed under the name Hygrocybe acutoconica f. japonica. RNAcentral describes it as "eukaryotic LSU rRNA". It matches the Rfam family "Eukaryotic large subunit ribosomal RNA", at positions 56 to 974 of the family's 3401-position model. Lineage: Eukaryota; Fungi; Basidiomycota; Agaricomycetes; Agaricales; Hygrophoraceae. The record is from RNAcentral.